GACCAAGUGGUUAUCUUCUAGGUGUAAAAUAUUGGCAUUUAUCGAACAAGUCGAUACGAUUGUAGUAUUUCAUAGUACUUCUUAAUUAGCUGGAUAUGCUCUACUCCAGCUUGCUCGCGGGACACAUCUAAAUCCUCCAUCUCCUCGGACCUCUGUUGUCACGACGUCCUAUUUUUGUUAUUUAUAUGAAGAACAUGUGGCACUCGACCUGAAUAUUGGGAUGUUCAUCACUGGUCCUUCGACACAUUGCUUCGAUGCCGAUAAUAUUUCCAGCUAGAUUUGAUGACCUUUCCAUUUACAUGGUGUUAUUUCAGUGCUAGCUGGAGAUGGUGGGGAUGAGACUGAAGCAGUGAGCCAUCGUAAUUCCGUGGGUGGCACCGGCAAGCGUGCAAUAGUCCAACGUCACGGCAGAUCUUAUCUUGCCUCAUGGCCACCAUGGGUGCUCCAUAGGAGCCACGCUGCCCAUGUUGAACAAUCUUUGGCCGCUUCACGUCCUCAACUGAACUAGGUUAUGAUUCAUCUCCUCAAUUGACAUACUUCAUUGUCAAUGAUACCCUUGGCGAACGGUGCAUCAAUGGUACACCGUUAAUCUGUUCAUGCCGCUCACCAUGUGGCGAUAGAAGGAAGCAUGGCUAACAUCGAAAGGAGGCACGUACAACAUCCUAAGGAAGCGUGGCAAACAUCGGCCAGUGAUGUCUGCAUUGCGCCUAGA
Long non-coding RNA from Triticum dicoccoides, 712 nucleotides. RefSeq lists it as uncharacterized. The record is from RefSeq and is a predicted model, not a curated record. The transcript is spliced from 3 exons. NCBI's taxonomy places the organism in Eukaryota, Viridiplantae, Streptophyta, Magnoliopsida, Poales, Poaceae.